AUUGAACGCUGGCGGCAGGCCUAACACAUGCAAGUCGAGCGAGCGGCGGACGGGUGAGUAAUGUCUGGGAAACUGCCUGAUGGAGGGGGAAAACUAGUGGAAACGGUAGCUAAUACCGCAUACCAUCAGAUGUGGCCAGAUGGGAUGAGGUAGUAGGUGGGGUAACGGCUCACCUAGGCGACGAUCCCUAGCUGGUCUGAGAGGGUGACCGGCCAGACUGGAACUGAGACACGGUCCAGACUCCUACGGGAGGCAGCAGUGGGGAAUAUUGCACAAUGGGCGCAAGCCUGAUGCAGCCAUGCCGCGUGUGUGAAGAAGGCCUUCGGGUUGUAAAGUACUUUCAGCGGGGAGGCGUUACCCGCAGAAGAAGCACCGGCUAACUCCGUGCCAGCAGCCGCGGUAAUUC
This 406-nucleotide ribosomal RNA is filed under the name uncultured bacterium. RNAcentral describes it as "partial 16S ribosomal RNA". It matches the Rfam family "Bacterial small subunit ribosomal RNA", at positions 29 to 526 of the family's 1533-position model. The record is from RNAcentral.